RNAcentral lists this ribosomal RNA (500 nucleotides) under uncultured bacterium. RNAcentral's name for it is "partial 16S ribosomal RNA". It matches the Rfam family "Bacterial small subunit ribosomal RNA", at positions 28 to 505 of the family's 1533-position model. The record is from RNAcentral.
GACGAACGCUGGCGGCGUGCCUAAUACAUGCAAGUCGAACGAACCGCGACUGAGUGCUUGCACUUGGUCAAGGUGAGUGGCGAACGGGUGAGUAACACGUGGGUAACCUACCUCAUAGUGGGGGAUAACAGUCGGAAACGACUGCUAAUACCGCAUAGGACAUGGAAUCACAUGAUUCUGUGAGGAAAGGUGGCGCAAGCUAUCGCUAAGAGAUGGACCCGCGGUGCAUUAGCUAGUUGGUAGGGUAAGGGCCUACCAAGGCGAUGAUGCAUAGCCGACCUGAGAGGGUGAUCGGCCACAUUGGGACUGAGACACGGCCCAAACUCCUACGGGAGGCAGCAGUAGGGAAUCUUCCGCAAUGGACGCAAGUCUGACGGAGCAACGCCGCGUGAGUGAAGAAGGUCUUCGGAUCGUAAAGCUCUGUUGUUAGAGAAGAACAGCGCAUAGAGUAACUGUUAUGCGUGUGACGGUAUCUAACCAGAAAGCCACGGCUAACUACG